RNAcentral lists this ribosomal RNA (441 nucleotides) under Triticum aestivum (bread wheat). Its description in RNAcentral is "partial small subunit ribosomal RNA". Lineage: Eukaryota; Viridiplantae; Streptophyta; Magnoliopsida; Poales; Poaceae. The record is from RNAcentral.
UCCGGAAGAAAAUUUGGCUGCACGGAAUUGGUGAACCCGAAAGACCACAGCAAGCCAGUUCAAGAGGUACUCGCUGAGAUGACAAACGGCGGAGUCGACCGUAGUGUUGAAUGCACCGGCAAUAUCAGUGCUAUGAUACAAGCAUUUGAAUGUGAUCAUAUGGGCUGGGGUGUCGCUGUGCUGGUCGAUGUGCCACACAAGGACGCCGAAUUCAAGACCCACCCAAUGAACUUCCUGAACGAGAGGACUCUAAAGGGGGCCUUCUUCGGCAACUUCAAGCCGUGCACUGAUCUGCCCAAUUUUGUAGAGAUGUACGUGAAGAAGGAACUGGAGGUGGAAAACUUCAUCACGCACAGCGUACCGUUCUCGGAGAUCAACAAGGCCUUUGACCUCGUGGCCAAGGGCAAGGGCAUUCGCUGCAUCAUCCGCAUGGAGAACUAG